This 382-nucleotide unclassified non-coding RNA is filed under the name uncultured Actinomycetes bacterium. Its description in RNAcentral is "uncultured actinobacterium contains 16S-23S intergenic spacer region". The record is from RNAcentral. Lineage: Bacteria; Bacillati; Actinomycetota; Actinomycetes.
UCCCCGUUGAAGCGAGGCAGUCCGUCCAGAGUGCUCCCUACUCUCGUAGGGGUGGCAACAGGACGCAAGGGUUGCGCUCGUUGCGGGACUUAACCCAACAUCUCACGACACGAGCUGACAACAGCCAUGCAGCACCUGUGUAGGGCCCAAAAGGACACCGCAUCUCUACGGCUUUUCCCUACAUGUCAAGCCCAGGUAAGGUUCUUCGCGUUGCCUCGAAUUAAGCAACAUGCUCCGCUGCUUGUGCGGGCCCCCGUCAAUUCCUUUGAGUUUUAGCCUUGCGGCCGUACUCCCCAGGCGGGGCGCUUAAUGCGUUAGCUACGGCACGGAAUCCGUGGAAGGGAUCCCACACCUAGCGCCCACCGUUUACGGCGUGGACUAC